This 253-nucleotide ribosomal RNA is filed under the name uncultured bacterium. RNAcentral describes it as "partial 16S ribosomal RNA". It matches the Rfam family "Bacterial small subunit ribosomal RNA", at positions 524 to 776 of the family's 1533-position model. The record is from RNAcentral.
UACGUAGGGGGCUAGCGUUGUCCGGAAUCAUUGGGCGUAAAGCGCGCGUAGGCGGCCCGGUAAGUCCGCUCUGAAAGUCCAGGGCUCAACCCUGGAAAGCGGGUGGAUACUGCCGGGCUAGAAUCCGGAAGAGGCGAGUGGAAUUCCUGGUGUAGCGGUGGAAUGCGCAGAUAUCAGGAGGAACACCUAUGGCGAAGGCAGCUCGCUGGGACGUUACUGACGCUGAGACGCGAAAGCGUGGGGAGCAAACAGG